CAUGCCGCGUGCAGGAAGACUGCCCUAUGGGUUGUAAACUGCUUUUACAGAGGAAGAACCACCCCCACGUGUGGGGGUUUGACGGUACUCUGCGAAUAAGGAUCGGCUAACUCCGUGCCAGCAGCCGCGGUAAUACGGAGGAUCCAAGCGUUAUCCGGAAUCAUUGGGUUUAAAGGGUCCGUAGGCGGGCAGUUAAGUCAGUGGUGAAAGUCUUCCGCUCAACGGGAGAACUGCCAUUGAUACUGAUUGUCUUGAGUUAUUAUGAAGUGGUUAGAAUGAGUAGUGUAGCGGUGAAAUGCAUAGAUAUUACUCAGAAUACCGAUUGCGAAGGCAGAUCACUAAUAAUAUACUGACGCUGAUGGACGAAAGCGUAGGUAGCGAACAGGAUUAGAUACCCUGGUAGUCUACGCCGUAAACGAUGGUUACUAGCUGUUCGGCCCAAUUGAGGGCUGAGUGGUUAAGCGAAAGUGAUAAGUAACCCACCUGGGGAGUACGUUCGCAAGAAUGAAACUCAAAGGAAUUGACGGGGGCCCGCACAAGCGGUGGAGCAUGUGGUUUAAUUCGAUGAUACGCGAGGAACCUUACCAGGGCUUAAAUGUAGUCUGACAGGUCUGGAAACAGACUUUUCUUCGGACAGAUUACAAGGUGCUGCAUGGUUGUCGUCAGCUCGUGCCGUGAGGUGUCAGGUUAAGUCCUAUAACGAGCGCAACCCCUGUGGUUAGUUGCCAGCGAGUAAUGUCGGGAACUCUAGCCAGACUGCCGGUGCAAAC
This 770-nucleotide ribosomal RNA is filed under the name Salegentibacter mishustinae. RNAcentral describes it as "bacterial SSU rRNA". It matches the Rfam family "Bacterial small subunit ribosomal RNA", at positions 393 to 1163 of the family's 1533-position model. The record is from RNAcentral. Lineage: Bacteria; Pseudomonadati; Bacteroidota; Flavobacteriia; Flavobacteriales; Flavobacteriaceae.